GUCAACCACCCACCGCUUAUGCUCUGACGAGCUUUGAAGCGGGGGCUUGUGAAAACAAGUCAGUUGAUUAGCCUAAGUGCUCAGUGCACUACGUUAUCCGCGAAUAACGAUAUAAGGAAUCCUCCCGCAUAGCGGGUCCCUCCUUGUAUCAAGCAUAGGUACCCCGGGAUGCUCCACAAGUCCCUGGCACUA
RNAcentral lists this small RNA (192 nucleotides) under bovine gut metagenome. RNAcentral's name for it is "HNH endonuclease-associated RNA and ORF (HEARO) RNA". It matches the Rfam family "HNH endonuclease-associated RNA and ORF (HEARO) RNA", at positions 1 to 127 of the family's 211-position model. The record is from RNAcentral.